GUGCUCGCUGUAACAGCACAUACACUAAAACUGGAAUGAUAGAGAGAUUAGCAUGGCCCCUGUGCAAAGAUGACAGGUAAAUUCAUGAAGUGUUCCAUAUAAAA
RNAcentral lists this small nuclear RNA (104 nucleotides) under Microcebus murinus (gray mouse lemur). The record is from RNAcentral. Lineage: Eukaryota; Metazoa; Chordata; Mammalia; Primates; Cheirogaleidae.